UACGGGGGGGGCAAGCGUUGUUCGGAAUUACUGGGCGUAAAGGGUCUGUAGGUGGCUUGCUAAGUCAGACGUGAAAUCCCUCAGCUUAACUGGGGAACUGCGUCUGAGACUGGCGAGCUUGAGUGCAGGAGAGGAACGCGGAAUUCCAGGUGUAGCGGUGAAAUGCGUAGAUAUCUGGAGGAACACCGGUGGCGAAGGCGGCGUUCUGGACUGCAACUGACACUGAGAGACGAAAGCCAGGGGAGCAAACGGGAUUAGAAACCCCAGUAGUCC
This 273-nucleotide ribosomal RNA is filed under the name uncultured bacterium. RNAcentral describes it as "partial 16S ribosomal RNA". It matches the Rfam family "Bacterial small subunit ribosomal RNA", at positions 524 to 796 of the family's 1533-position model. The record is from RNAcentral.